AUUUCAUACAGAGAGAGAGAGAGAGAGAGAGAGAGAGAGAGAGAGAAAUGGGGAAAGCACUAGGACCGACCGGCGAGUUCUUCCGGCGAAGAGACGAGUGGAGGAAACAUCCGAUGCUAACCAAUCAGUUCCGUCACGCCACUCCUGGCCUCGGAAUCGCCGUCGUUGCGUUUGGCAUCUACGUCGCCGGUGAAAUCGCCUACAAUAAGAUCUACGCUCCUUCUCACACAUCUCCUCGCUCUCACUGACGCUUCUUCAUAUGAUCAGGCUGCGGAGAAGGAUAUGCCAGAUUGUUUCUUACACCUUUUUUAAUUGCUUGCCCCUUGAAUAAAUUCAUCUUUAGUAGAAGGCUUCAUGCAUUUGCAAUUGUCUUCCCUUGUAAGAUACUUUGAUUGUCCUCCCGUUUUAAGGGUAAAUGUUGAACUAUAUUCAUUUAGUCAGGGCCGGUUCAACCUUUUUGGGGUAUAAAAUUCCGUGGCUGUUUUCUAGUUUCCUUGUUUUAUCUGUGUUUGGAACUGGCGUAAUAAAUAAAAAAGUUUAUAUUUGCGUCAUUUA
RNAcentral lists this long non-coding RNA (555 nucleotides) under Helianthus annuus (common sunflower). The record is from RNAcentral. Lineage: Eukaryota; Viridiplantae; Streptophyta; Magnoliopsida; Asterales; Asteraceae.